Molecule: ribosomal RNA, 393 nt
Filed under: uncultured bacterium
Lineage: Bacteria
Description: partial 16S ribosomal RNA
Rfam family: Bacterial small subunit ribosomal RNA
Source: RNAcentral
AUACGGAGGAUCCGAGCGUUAUCCGGAUUUAUUGGGUUUAAAGGGUGCGCAGGCGGGAGAUUAAGUCGGCGGUGAAAUUUUGCAGCUCAACUGGAAAAGUGCCUUCGAAACUGGUUUCCUUGAGUGUAGAUGAAGUAGGCGGAAUUUGUGGUGUAGCGGUGAAAUGCAUAGAUAUCACGAGGAACUCCGAUUGCGCAGGCAGCUUACUAAACUACUACUGACGCUCAGGCACGAAGGCGUGGGGAUCAAACAGGAUUAGAUACCCUGGUAGUCCACGCAGUAAACGAUGAUUACUAGCUGUUUGCGAUACAAUGUAAGCGGCUGAGCGAAAGCGUUAAGUAAUCCACCUGGGGAGUACGACCGCAAGGUUGAAACUCAAAUGAAUUGGCGGGG